RNAcentral lists this unclassified non-coding RNA (169 nucleotides) under uncultured Nectriaceae. Its description in RNAcentral is "sequence contains ITS1". The record is from RNAcentral. Lineage: Eukaryota; Fungi; Ascomycota; Sordariomycetes; Hypocreales; Nectriaceae.
CCGAGUUUACAACUCCCAAACCCCUGUGAACAUACCAUAACGUUGCUUCGGCGGAUCAGCCCCUCGCCUCGCCGCGAGGGCCCGCCAGAGGACCCCUAAACCCCAAACUUUUGUUUUAUUUUUGGCCUUGCAAACCCAAUUCUGAGUGGAUUUUUACAAAUCAAAAUUA